UACGUAGGGGGGCGAGCGUUUGUCCGGAUUUAUUGGGCGUAAAGCGCGCGCAGGCGGCCUCUUAAGUCUGAUGUGAAAGCCCCCGGCUCAACCGGGGAGGGCCAUUGGAAACUGGGAGGCUUGAGUAUAGGAGAGAGGAGUGGAAUUCCACGUGUAGCGGUGAAAUGCGUAGAGAUGUGGAGGAACACCAGUGGCGAAGGCGACUCUUUGGCCUAUAACUGACGCUGAGGCGCGAAAGCGUGGGGAGCAAACAGG
Molecule: ribosomal RNA, 255 nt
Filed under: uncultured bacterium
Lineage: Bacteria
Description: partial 16S ribosomal RNA
Rfam family: Bacterial small subunit ribosomal RNA
Source: RNAcentral